CUCAGUCAAGCGUUGUCACUUUUACUUCACGCGCACAAAUAUUUGACUCGACGCGCGCAACGUCCAGCUUAACUGUCCACUUGAGGUGCACCGUCACCGCUCGACCUGUUGUCUCUUUUUCUUAGGCCAAUGAUGCUUGUAUCAAUCAGCAGGGACUGGGAAUCGAACCCAGGCCUACCGGGUGCGAGUCCGUCGCUCUACCGAUCGAGCCAUUGUAGGCCUAAAGAUUACAUAUUAAAUCUUUCGAACGAAAUUUAUUGCUCUAUCUAUACAAUAACGUUUUGAGACGGCGGGAUCGAAAGGUCAGUUUGGGGAAAAUACAAACUAGUAUUGUACCUGUCAUGGAUGAAACUUCAAGAAAAAUUCCAGUCUUAUCAUAAUAAUCGUAUCACUGGAUAACGCUUGUUUCAUGAUAAGAGUAUACAAUAAAAAUUAUAUCCUCAUGAAAUAUAAAUUUAUAGCUUCUUUCAGUCGAAAAAAAUUGCAUUUGAAUCAAUAGUGACUGAUGUAAUCCUAAUACUGUGACAUUAGUUGACGUUAAAUAGACUUCGAAAGUAAUAUAUUCAAGUUCAUAUAUUCAAGUCAUUGCAUAUGAACUGUUAUCUUACUCUUUAUUAAAAUAAUAUGUAUUCGUGUAAUGGAUAGCAAAUA
This is a long non-coding RNA of Phymastichus coffea, 651 nucleotides long. RefSeq lists it as uncharacterized. NCBI's taxonomy places the organism in Eukaryota, Metazoa, Arthropoda, Insecta, Hymenoptera, Eulophidae. The record is from RefSeq and is a predicted model, not a curated record. The transcript is spliced from 3 exons.